UGUUUUAAAAGGCGAGCGCCUUUUGCGCCAAGGCGCAAGGCGCACUCAGGCGACAGUCCCAUCGCCAUGCACCUCCCAGGCGAGGGUAUGGUCCCUAAGGCGCACGCCAUGGUGCGCUUUUAGUUUAAAUCUAAGGCAUCUAAGGCACCAAAAGCGCUUGAAAGGCGCGCCUUGUAGAUUCCUAUCAAAACAUAAUGUUUUGACCUAACUUUAUUUAUGUCCUACGUUCUAAUCGUGACAUGAUGGCGGCCGUUCUGUUACAUACUCUAAAUGAAGAAGACGACUAACUGUAACCUAAUUAACUCUAAUAAUAACUCAGCCCGGUUUAAUUCACUAAACCAUGUGCAUUUCAAGUUAUUUUAAUGAACCAACUCAAUUAAUAAACUAAUUAACCAAGAAGAAGGUUUGUUGAACCAAUUUAGAACCAAAUGAAACAACUUUCCGGAACUGAGAAACGUCCCAAAGGCGAGCGAUUUAAUGCGCCAUGGCGCAAGGCGCAAAGCUAGGAGCAUAUCCCCUUAGUGCGCCUAGCGCUUUUUAAAACACAGCUGCUGAUAAUUAGGAAGAAGUAUUCUUGAUAGAGUAAUAUCAAUGUUCAAUAUUUUGUAUGUCUGUGUUUUGUCUAGGAUUAGUCUCUUCAAUUUGUUCCAAGUGCUUCUCUUCAGAUUGAUCACACUACAAGAAAACAUCAAUAUAGUAACUAUUUCUGCAACUCUAGUCUUUAGUUGCAAAUAUAUGUAACCCAUCUUUAACGAUUUUUCAACAGUUUUGCAACUACAAUGAAAACGUCUUAAAUAAGUUGCAAAUGUGUAACCAAAUUUCGUGGUUGUAAAUGAGUUGAUUUAUUGUGACGCUUUUGAGACAUAUUUGCAAUUCUAUUACGAAGUCGCAACGUAGUAGCAAUAAGGCAACUAAAGGGCAACCACGUUUGUUGUUGGAAAACCGGAGUUACAGAUUAGUUGGAAAGAUAUUUAAAUGUUGUAGUUGCAAAAUUGUUGCAUUUUUGUUGUGAUGAAUUGUAAAAAAGUUGGUGUACACAUGUUUUUUUGCACGGCGUUAGGAAGUAUGUACAACUAACUUUAGCAACUAUUCUUUUAGUAGUUGUAAAAUAGUCUCAAGUAUUUCUCUAUUUAAAUCAAUCGUCCAUUCUCUUCUCAUUUGUCCGAACAAUUAUUAAAAAAACAUUUUCUUUGACGGUUUUUUAUUGAAACAAUCCACUGUUCGAUCUUUGAAGGAAAAUAUAGUCAUAAUAUUAUGUAAUUUGGAGAAGAUCUUCCCAUCUGCUUUCUUUGACGUCAUGGAACACUUAGCUGUACAUCUCCCGUAUGAAGCUAAACUAGGCAGUCCUGUGCAAUAUAGGUGGAUGUAUCCAUUUGAAAGGUUUUUCAAAAAUUAAAAAGCAAAGCUAAAAAAAAAAGAUAUCCUGCAGGAUCGAUUAUCCAGUCAUAUAUUAAUGAUGAGAUAUCUUAUUUUUCGGAGCACUACUUUGCCGCACAUAUUCAUACCAAAUUAAGGUCCACAAGAUUCGAUGAAGGCGAAGCUCAUGUUUAUCAUGUCCAAGGAAUACCAGAUAUAUUUACUCAUGUAGGUCGUCCAAGUGGGAAAAGAAAAGAAGUAUGGUUUUCUGAGAAAGAUUAUCAAUGCGCACAUGCGUAUGUUUUGCGCAACUGUGAAUAUUUCCAAUCAUAUGAAAGGUAAAAUCUUUAGUUUCAGUUAAAAAAAGUACUUGAGUAGUGAAUAAUAUUGUAAAAAAAUAUUCAUUGCUGUGUAAAUAUUUUUUCUUUUUGGUUUUAGGUUAUUCGAAGAACAAAUUCGUUUUCAAUAUCCAGAACUCUCUGAGGAAGAUAUUUCAAGCAAAUGCGAUGAAGAAUUUCCUACAUGGAUUAGAGAUUUUGUUGCUUCAACAAUCAACUCUAGUGGCGCUGAAUCUUUUCCUAUAUGGGUUCAAGAUUUGGUUCAAGGUCCUCUGAAUAAGGCAUCAACUUGACCCAUCUAUUUCACAAGAGGCUAUUUGUUUCAUACUCGAAAUUAUGGACAGAGAAGAAAAACAUGCAACUAUGGAAUAUGUGUCAAAGGAGCAAACUAUUCAGAUGCAUCCGAUGAAGUUGAUUUUCAUGGGACCUUAACAGAUAUCAUACAACUUCAAUAUCCAGGAUUGGUCAAUUUAAAAUUACACUUUUUAAAUGUGAGUGGUAUGAUCUUACGAUCGGUAAAGGCACACGAAUGAGCAUGAAUGGCAUUGUUGAUGUCCUUGCUUCAGGAAAAUAUAACAAAUACGAACCGUUUAUUCUAGGUAAAUUUGCAUAUAUCAUUAUAUAUUAAUUACGCAUUCAAUAUAAAAUAUUUAUUAUAUUAAAAUUUUUCUUUUUACACAAUGCAGCUUCUCAAGCCGACAAGUUUGUUAUAUUCCGUAUCCAUACAUCAAACAACCGAAAAAGUUGUGGCUCAAUGUUCUUAAAGUCAAUCCAAGAGCAAAUAUUUAUGGAAAUUAUAAAUCUAAAGAGCCAACUCUGCUAUAACAGGAAACUGAUGAUGAUGCCAUGGUAACAACAAUUGAAGAAAUUGUAGUUGAUCAUUUGGCAGACAAAAGAAAUCUGUUUGAAGACAUUGAUUUUGAUGCUGGAGAUGCCGAAGUAGAAGAUGAAUCUCAGUGUAAUCUUUCAUCUUCUGAUGAUGAAGAUGGCGAUGAAGAAUAAUAUUUGUCUAGUCUAUUAACAUGUAUGUUUAUGUAAGAUAAUAGAUUGUGUUGAACUUAUUAUUUAUGAAUAAUUAUCGUUUCCAACUA
Molecule: long non-coding RNA, 2785 nt
Organism: Brassica napus (rape)
Lineage: Eukaryota; Viridiplantae; Streptophyta; Magnoliopsida; Brassicales; Brassicaceae
Exons: 3
Source: RefSeq, a predicted model, not a curated record